AACUGGAUAGCCUAGUGGUCAAAGGCAGCACUUCUAGCAAUAAUGAGGUCCCAGGUUUGAAUACUGGUCUAGUCA
This 75-nucleotide transfer RNA is filed under the name Endocronartium harknessii PhW48OC. Its description in RNAcentral is "tRNA-Ala (AGC) (tRNA-Ala-AGC-39-1)". It matches the Rfam family "tRNA". Rfam says of the family: Transfer RNA (tRNA) molecules are approximately 80 nucleotides in length. Their secondary structure includes four short double-helical elements and three loops (D, anti-codon, and T loops). The record is from RNAcentral. Lineage: Eukaryota; Fungi; Basidiomycota; Pucciniomycetes; Pucciniales; Coleosporiaceae.